AGAAGGGAGGUGGUCGCCCUCCGUCGUGGCCUGGCGUGGAUUCCGAGCGUUGGUGUCUGGCGGUUUCCGACCGUUGGUGUCUGGCACGCGCCACCCCGAUGUACCAGGUAAAGCCCUAUCACGGGGUCGGCGCCCCUCUCCGUGUGGAGCCCACCUGCAUGUACUGGCUCCCCAACAGGCACGGCAGGAGCGGCGGCCCAGCACUCGGCACUGGCCACUUGCAGACAAGAAGACAAGAAAAUGAUUUGAGGACAGCUUCAAUCGCGGUGUGAAGAAGAAAGCAGCAAAACGACCACUGAAAACAACGCCGGUGGCAAAACAUCCAAAGAAAGGGUCCCAAGCGGUACAUCGUCAUAGCUGGAAACAGUCAGAGCCACCAGCCAAUGAUCUUUUCAAUGCUGCGAAAGCUGCCGAAAGUGACAUGCAGUGUGGCCAUGAGCUCUGCCGGAAGUAACUUGUUGGUGUUAUCUCCUGAGUUAAAAUGUGAAGGGAUUUUUUUUUUUCAGAUGACUGAGAGUCUUCAGUUACUAGAGGCGGAUUUCCCUGACUGAAGACCAUGUUGCAGGCCCACAGCUGCCUACAGGCCCUCUGGGCAACCGUCCCAAAAUAUGGCAAAGAAACCUAUUCUGAGAGAUAGGGUCUCACCAUGUUGCCCAGGCUGGUCUUGAACUCCUGGACUCAUCCUAAAGUGCUGGCCUCUCAUUCCCUGUCUGUGCACACCUCACGGCAAGGGCCAGCCCGUUUCCUCCCGGUCACCUCCAAAUCUUGCUGCUUUUAAUUCAACUCAGAGCCCUAGCCAGGGUUGAGUUCUCACCCACCUGUGCCGCCCUGCCUUGUUACCUGGAAGCUCAGCCUUGGGGACUGAGCAGGCCCUCACUGUCACUUUAAGAAGGGAUUCAGCCACUUUGUGCUCACCACCUCUGGGGAAGGUGUGAGAGGAGAGAAGGAAGUGGCUGUUUGGCUGCUGACAAUAUGAAGACUUCCUGUGAUGAGAACAGAGGCACAGGUGCCGGCCCUGCAGCCCCCAGAACCCGGACUGGAGGGGGCCAUGGGGCGCCGGACCCUGGCCCUGCCCUGGGUGCUGCUGACCCUGCGUGUCACUGCGGGGACCCCGGAGGUGUGGGUGCAAGUUCGGAUGGAGGCCACCGAGCUCUCGUCCUUCACCAUCCGUUGUGGGUUCCUGGGGUCUGGCUCCAUCUCCCUGGUGACUGCCCGCUGGGAAACCCAGAGCAGCGUCUCUCUUGCUCUGGAAGUCUCUGGGGCCAGCAGCCCCUGCGCCAACACCACCUUCUGCUGCAAGUUUGCGUCCUUCCCUGAGGGCUCCUGGGAGGGCUGUGGGAGCCUCCCGCCCAGCUCAGACCCAGGGCUCUCUGUCCCGCCGACUCCUGCCCCCAUUCUGCGGGCAGACCUGGCCGGGAUCUUGGGGGUCUCAGGAGUCCUUCUCUUUGACUGUGGCUACCUCCUUCAUCUGCUGUGCCGACAGAAGCACCGCCCUGCCCCUAGGCUCCAGCCAUUCCACACCAGCUCCCAGGCACUGAGAGCACGAGCAUGGGCACCCAGCCAGGACUCCCAGGCUGCUCUCCACGUCCCUUAUGCCACUGUCAACACCAGCUGCUGCCCAGCUACUUUGGACACAGCUCACCCCCGACGGGGGGCUGUCCUGGUGGGCAUCACUCCCCACCCACACUGCACACUGGCCCCAGGGCCCUGCUGCCUGGGCCUCCACAUCCAUCCCUGCACAUGGCAGCUUUGUCUCUGUUGAGAAUGGACUCUACGCUUAGGCUGGGGAGAGGCCUUCCUGCACUGGUCUUGGCCUCACUCUUUUCGCUGAUCCUUGGGGCCCAGGGCCAUGGAGGGACCCUUAGGAGUUCGAUGAGAGAGACCAUGAGGCCACUGGGCUUUCCCCUUCCCAGGCCUCCUGGGUGCCACCCCCUUACGUUAUUCUUGGGCCUCUAAUAAGUGUCCCACAGGUGCCUGGCCAGGCCCACCUGCUGUGGAUGUGGUCUGUGUGUGUGCAUGUGUGGGUGUGUGUGGGCACAGGUGUGAGUGUGUGAGCGACAGUACCCCAUUCCAGUCGUUUCCUGCUGUGACUAAGUCAGCAACACAGUUCCUCUGACAUGGGCCUUGGCUGUGCUUCUUUGGGGGUGAAGAGAUUGGGGAGGAAGUCUCCACCCCUGGGAGGCAGAAGCCAGGCAUAGGGCGCUGGCUAGGACUCCAGUACCAUGAAGGGAGGCAGUGAGAGCAGACAUCUGUGCCUCAUUCCUGAUCUCAAGGGGAAAGCAAGAACAGGGGAGGCUUCCUCAGGAUCUCGAACCUGUGGAAGGAGGACCAGUCUGUGUACUUCUGCCAAGUCCAGCUGGACAUACAGAUCAGGGAGGCUGUCGUGGCAGUCCAUCAAGGGGACCCACCUCACCAUCACCCAGGCCCUCAGGCAGCCCCUCCACAGGGCCCCUCUCCUGCCUGGACAGCUCUGCUGGUCUCCCCGUCCCCUGGAGAAGAACAAGGCCAUGGGUCAGCCCCUGCUGCUGCCCCUGCUGCUCCUGCUGCUGCCGCCAGCAUUUCUGCAGCCUGGUGGCUCCACAGGAUCUGGUCCAAGCUACCUUUAUGGGGUCACUCAACCAAAACACCUCUCAGCCUCCAUGGGUGGCUCUGUGGAAAUCCCCUUCUCCUUCUAUUACCCCUGGGAGUUAGCCACAGCUCCCGACGUGAGAAUAUCCUGGAGACGGGGCCACUUCCACGGGCAGUCCUUCUACAGCACAAGGCCGCCUUCCAUUCACAAGGAUUAUGUGAACUGGCUCUUUCUGAACUGGACAGAGGGUCAGAAGAGCGGCUUCCUCAGGAUCUCAAACCUGCGGAAGGAGGACCAGUCUGUGUAUUUCUGCCGAGUCGAGCUGGACACCCGGAGAUCAGGGAGGCAGCAGUUGCAGUCCAUCAAGGGGACCAAACUCACCAUCACCCAGGCUGUCACAACCACCACCACCUGGAGGCCCAGCAGCACAACCACCACAGCCGGCCUCAGGGUCACAGAAAGCAAAGGGCACUCAGAAUCAUGGCACCUAAGUCUGGACACUGCUAUCAGGGUUGCAUUGGCUGUCGCUGUGCUCAAAACUGUCAUUUUGGGACUGCUGUGCCUCCUUCUCCUGUGGUGGAGGAGAAGGAAAGAUAGCAGGGCGCCAAGCAGUGACUUCUGACCAACAGAGUGUGGGGAGAAGGGAUGUGUAUUAGCCCCGGAGGACGUGAUGUGAGACCCGCUUGUGAGUCCUCCACACUGGUUCCCCAUUGGCAAGAUACAUGGAGAGCACCCUGAGGACCUUUAAAAAGGCAAAGCCGCAAGGCAGAAGGAGGCUGGGUCCCUGAAUCACCGACUGGAGGAGAGUUACCUACAAGAGCCUUCAUCCAGGAGCAUCCACACUGCAAUGAUAUAGGAAUGAGGUCUGAACUCCACUGAAUUAAACCACUGGCAUUUGGGGGCUAUUUAUUAUAGCAGUGCUAAGAGUUCCUUUAUCCUCCCCAAGGAUGGAAAAAUACAAUUUAUUUUGCUUACCAUACACCCCUUUUCUCCUCGUCCACAUUUUCCAAUCUGUAUGGUGGCUGUCUUCUCCUAUGGCAGAAGGUUUUGGGGAAUAAAUAGCGUGAAAUGCUGCUGACA
Molecule: small RNA, 3649 nt
Filed under: Pan troglodytes (chimpanzee)
Lineage: Eukaryota; Metazoa; Chordata; Mammalia; Primates; Hominidae
Description: processed transcript
Source: RNAcentral